UCUUUCUUUCAAAAGCAGUUUACUCUGUAUUACUCUAAUUCUUCCCUAACACAAAACAAAUUAGCAACAAACAGAAUAAGGGGUUGCGUUCGUUCCAGGACUUAACCAAACAUCUUAAAACACGAACUGACGACAGCCAUGCAGUACCUGUACCAAAAAAAGAGCUUCCUUUGCGUCUAACUCCCUAUCACGGAUUUUCAUCCGUAUUCUUUGGUAUACAAUCAUUGGUAAGAUUACGCGCGUUAUUUCGAAUUAAACCACAUGCUCCACCGCUUGUGCGAGCUUCCGUCAAUUCCUUUGAGUUUCAACCUUGCGGCCGUACUCCUCAGGCGGAGUAUUCACGCGUUAGCUAUGACUUACUAUAGUAAAUCUUAUACUCAUCGGUCACAGCGUAGACUAC
RNAcentral lists this unclassified non-coding RNA (400 nucleotides) under uncultured bacterium. Its description in RNAcentral is "contains 16S-23S intergenic spacer region". The record is from RNAcentral.